UACGGAGGGUGCAAGCGUUAUCCGGAUUUACUGGGUUUAAAGGGUGUGUAGGCGGGCUUUUAAGUCAGUGGUGAAAUCUCCGAGCUCAACUUGGAAACUGCCAUUGAUACUAUUAGUCUUGAAUUCUGUUGAGGUAGGCGGAAUAAGUCAUGUAGCGGUGAAAUGCUUAGAUAUGACUUAGAACACCAAUUGCGAAGGCAGCUUACUAAACAGAUAUUGACGCUGAGGCACGAAAGCGUGGGGAUCAAACAGG
Molecule: ribosomal RNA, 253 nt
Filed under: uncultured bacterium
Lineage: Bacteria
Description: partial 16S ribosomal RNA
Rfam family: Bacterial small subunit ribosomal RNA
Source: RNAcentral